GUACCAGGCUUCCCAGGCGUCCGAGUUGGUCAGGCCUGUGUACCACAGCUGGCCGGCUGCGUCCCGUCCCAUGGGCGUGUACUUCCAGCGUGUGGCCUGCCUGAUGGCUGGUGGCCAGCGGGAACCCUCCAGGGACAGGUAGUCAUCGCUGAGGGUGGGCAGGGGGCAGAGACUGAGCCCAUGUCUACAGCGAGUGCUUUGACCCCUUUGCGAUGUCUGCCAGGGUGGAUGAUGUAGAGGCCUGGCCCACGGCGUGGGGUCUCCCUCCCUCGCCACUUGGAGUCUGUCCUUCAGCCCUGUACCCCUCACCCCAGAGUGGGUGCUUGAGGAGAGAGGCUGACUCCCCCUCUCCCCACACAUCGCACCCCAAGCACCCAAGUCAGCACUAAACCUUUCUGUUCUCAGCUUUUCUUGCCUGGAGAAGAGGGAGGGGAGAGGACAAGGGCCCUGGCUACUCCUGGAUUCCUACAGUCCUUGUCCAGCCUCCAAGACCCACAAGUCCCUUCCUCUGGGAAGCCCCCCUGGCCUGGAGGUGCACCAGGAAGAAGUGGUCUGGGGCUGGCACUAAGCCAUGGCCCAGGGAAGACUGGGGGACCCACUAGGCCAGGAUGAGACCUGCACGCAGUGGCUCACAGCAGCACGAUUUGUGACAGCCCGAGGCGGAGAACACCGAACACCCAGUGAAGGUGAGGGGAUCAGCACGGCGCCGCCACC
This 714-nucleotide long non-coding RNA is filed under the name Homo sapiens (human). RNAcentral describes it as "non-protein coding lnc-DOHH-2:1". Lineage: Eukaryota; Metazoa; Chordata; Mammalia; Primates; Hominidae. The record is from RNAcentral.